CAAAUUUAGUUUUCAACCGCCAUACAAGUAUUUUUUUUUUGUUCUGAUCUUGACUUUUCUUUGCCACCCCCUUUCUCCCUAUCUUGCUCUCUCCUCAUCCCCUGUUAUGAUGUUUGAGUAAACACAUAGGUUUGUGCAAACGAGCAGAAAUCUAAUAAAAUAUCUUGUCGAUUGACAGACAGCAAAGACCUUGAUGUGAUCACGUGAUUGUUGAAUGAACGCUGAUGCAAUGGUGUAAUUUAGGAAGAGUCAUAAAAUCACAGCCGAACAGUGGAUUCGUAGUUAAAAUUUGAUCCGUUCGGUUACAUCAACUGAACAAAUAAAGCAACAAACAUUUAAUGCAAUUAUAAGAAUCAUGGUCUGAUUAUAUCAUAACAUGCUUUUGUUGUUGAGCCCUAGGUCAGCAAAGAUCGAAUAUACUUAUGAUCAAAAAGCGUUCUAGUCAUCACCAUGUCACAUGAUCCAACAUGUCCUUCCUUCUUUGUAAAGAUAGCACAUUGAGAGUUGAUUAAAAUUUGGCUGCUGUUUCUAGCAGAAUCAUUUGCGCAUCGGACAAAAUAGUUUACCGUGUUUAGUUUCUUUACAUUCUGAGUUCCUAUCCCGCCAAGUUCAAUAUUACCUUUCACCCUUCUGGGAUCGAUAACAGGAAAUACCAGACGAAUAUACCAGUCGACGCCGCGAAGAAACACAGCCACAAUCAUAUGGUUCUCCCGUUGAGUAACACACAAGUUAUGCAGACGUUCUUAUUUGCUUAUCGAAUUAUAAUCAACGUUUAUUGCUUCCAAAAUGGAGUUGUAUAGCUUCUGUCAUCUAAUCUGAAUUUUCUGUCUAGUCUCGACGUGAGACAAAGUGUGUUUAAUGCAUUGAGCAAUAGAUUUUGUCGAUGAA
This is a long non-coding RNA of Octopus sinensis (East Asian common octopus), 888 nucleotides long. RefSeq lists it as uncharacterized. The transcript is spliced from 3 exons. The record is from RefSeq and is a predicted model, not a curated record. Lineage: Eukaryota; Metazoa; Mollusca; Cephalopoda; Octopoda; Octopodidae.